UACGGAGGGUGCGAGCGUUGUCCGGAAUCAUUGGGCGUAAAGGGCGCGUAGGUGGCCCGGUCAGUCAGUGGUGAAAGCGCGGGGCUCAACCCCGCGUCGGCCAUUGAUACUGCCGCGGCUCGAGCACUGUAGAGGCAGGCGGAAUUCCGGGUGUAGCGGUGGAAUGCGUAGAGAUCCGGAAGAACACCGGUGGCAAAGGCGGCCUGCUGGGCAGUGGCUGACACUGAGGCGCGACAGCGUGGGGAGCAAACAGG
Molecule: ribosomal RNA, 254 nt
Filed under: uncultured bacterium
Lineage: Bacteria
Description: partial 16S ribosomal RNA
Rfam family: Bacterial small subunit ribosomal RNA
Source: RNAcentral